ACGGAAGGCAGCAGUGGGGGAUAUUGCACAAUGGGGGAAACCCUGAUGCAGCGACGCCGCGUGAGUGAUGAAGUAUUUCGGUAUGUAAAGCUCUAUCAGCAGGGAAGAAAAUGACGGUACCUGACUAAGAAGCACCGGCUAAAUACGUGCCAGCAGCCGCGGUAAUACGUAUGGUGCAAGCGUUAUCCGGAUUUACUGGGUGUAAAGGGAGCGUAGACGGCAAUGUAAGUCUGAAGUGAAAGCCCCGGGCUCAACCCGGGAACUGCUUUGGAAACUGUAUAGCUAGAGUGCAGGAGAGGUAAGUGGAAUUCCUAGUGUAGCGGUGAAAUGCGUAGAUAUUAGGAGGAACACCAGUGGCGAAGGCGGCUUGCUGGACGACAACUGACGCUGAGGCGCGAAAGCGUGGGGAGCAAACAGGAUUAGAUACCCUGGUA
This 434-nucleotide ribosomal RNA is filed under the name uncultured Lachnospiraceae bacterium. RNAcentral describes it as "partial 16S ribosomal RNA". It matches the Rfam family "Bacterial small subunit ribosomal RNA", at positions 341 to 792 of the family's 1533-position model. Lineage: Bacteria; Bacillati; Bacillota; Clostridia; Lachnospirales; Lachnospiraceae. The record is from RNAcentral.